UACGUAGGGUGCGAGCGUUAAUCGGAAUUACUGGGCGUAAAGCGUGCGCAGGCGGUUCGCUAAGACAGGUGUGAAAUCCCCGGGCUCAACCUGGGAAUGGCGCUUGUGACUGGCGGGCUGGAGUACGGCAGAGGGGGGUGGAAUUCCUGGUGUAGCAGUGAAAUGCGUAGAGAUCAGGGGGAACAUCGAUGGCGAAGGCAGCCCCCUGGGCCGCUACUGACGCUCAUGCACGAAAGCGUGGGGAGCAAACAGG
This 253-nucleotide ribosomal RNA is filed under the name uncultured bacterium. RNAcentral describes it as "partial 16S ribosomal RNA". It matches the Rfam family "Bacterial small subunit ribosomal RNA", at positions 524 to 776 of the family's 1533-position model. The record is from RNAcentral.